RNAcentral lists this ribosomal RNA (468 nucleotides) under uncultured bacterium. RNAcentral describes it as "partial 16S ribosomal RNA". It matches the Rfam family "Bacterial small subunit ribosomal RNA", at positions 28 to 507 of the family's 1533-position model. The record is from RNAcentral.
GACGAACGCUGGCGGCGUGCUUAACACAUGCCAGUCGAACGGAAAGGCCCUGCUUUUGUGGGGUGCUCGAGUGGCGAACGGGUGAGUAACACGUGAGUAACCUGCCCUUGACUUUGGGAUAACUUCAGGAAACUGGGGCUAAUACCGGAUAGGAGCUCCUGCUGCAUGGUGGGGGUUGGAAAGUUUCGGCGGUUGGGGAUGGACUCGCGGCUUAUCAGCUUGUUGGUGGGGUAGUGGCUUACCAAGGCUUUGACGGGUAGCCGGCCUGAGAGGGUGACCGGCCACAUUGGGACUGAGAUACGGCCCAGACUCCUACGGGAGGCAGCAGUGGGGAAUAUUGCACAAUGGGCGGAAGCCUGAUGCAGCAACGCCGCGUGCGGGAUGACGGCCUUCGGGUUGUAAACCGCUUUCGCCUGUGACGAAGCGUGAGUGUCGGUAAUGGGUAAAGAAGCACCGGCUAACUACGUG